AUUUAUAUAGUUUAAUAAAAACUUUACAUUUUCAUUGUAAAAAUAAAAAUAUACUUUUUUAUAAAUU
Molecule: transfer RNA, 67 nt
Filed under: Rusicada privata
Lineage: Eukaryota; Metazoa; Arthropoda; Insecta; Lepidoptera; Erebidae
Description: tRNA-Glu
Source: RNAcentral